GCACACAAUAAUCCGCUGACCAGAGUGACUGUGCGAGGGGAGAAGCGUUGAGACAGGAGGGCUGCCACAGGACCAACCAGGAAUGUUAGAAACAGUGCAAUGGAUCCUGCCCAUGCUGGUAAAAUGAUAGAUCAAGAAUAGGUAGAAAGACUCCAAAGCUUUGUGUGAAACCAAAGUGAAGCGAGUUGCACACCGCAGCUGAAAGGCAGCAAAGCCACGCCCAUGCACCAUCUUGGGGGUGGGGAGCACGCCCACACACCAUUGACGGCCUAUUUAGUGGAAUGCAGUAUUUAGAUAUAGCCUUUUCAAGAAACGUUGUCGGUGCCAAAGGGUAAAGACAAAAGAGACAAGUGUAUACCGAACAGAAUCACGGGUAGAAAAUUGAACGUAUCUAGUCUAGAUCGGUCACAGGCUUCUCACCCGCGCCAGUGAAGGAUUUCUAAGGACAUACGAAUUCACGCAAAUAAACAUGUAUGAGUUAUAUCUUUAUGCUCUUAUUCAUGAAAUAAACAUAGCUGGGAUGUAAA
Molecule: long non-coding RNA, 527 nt
Organism: Nematostella vectensis (starlet sea anemone)
Lineage: Eukaryota; Metazoa; Cnidaria; Anthozoa; Actiniaria; Edwardsiidae
Exons: 3
Source: RefSeq, a predicted model, not a curated record